UAAAUAACGAUGAAGAGGAAUAGUAGUAAAUGGUAUAGGUGAAGAGAGGUGACGGUUGGUGAGAGUCACUCCUAUACAUUACGAACUCGCCUCAGAUGUUAUAGAAGUGAAAUCUAGUAGCUUUUGUCGUUUUCCGCGUUAAGGAAAUGAAGUGAGUGUUAGUCUGAUAACACUAAUGUUGGGUGGUACCGCGGGAAUCUCUCUCGUCCCAUUA
Molecule: non-coding RNA, 214 nt
Filed under: Gracilibacillus kekensis
Lineage: Bacteria; Bacillati; Bacillota; Bacilli; Caryophanales; Bacillaceae
Description: T-box sequence
Rfam family: T-box leader
About the family: Uncharged tRNA acts as the effector for transcription antitermination of genes in the T-box leader family. T-boxes are found upstream of many aminoacyl-tRNA synthetase genes and some amino acid biosynthetic genes usually in Gram-positive bacteria.
Source: RNAcentral